Molecule: long non-coding RNA, 6353 nt
Filed under: Paramuricea clavata
Lineage: Eukaryota; Metazoa; Cnidaria; Anthozoa; Malacalcyonacea; Plexauridae
Source: RNAcentral
UCAUUUUGGGGCGGCGAGUUGAACAAAGCAAAUUUGACUUCUUGCCCAAAUUUUAAAGCAAAAUUAAACAAGAAAUGUCGAAGUCUGAACCUCGAGAAAAACUCAAAGACUGAACUAAGGUAUGUACUUUCUAUUUUACGUAAAAUGUACAUGUUUCGGCGAACGAAACUGCUUUAAAUUCUUGUCAAAGUUGAGGGCCGAAAUUCCCUUCGGUCGCCCAUUCGAUAUUCGUCUUGUCCUUGCGUAAAAACAUUGAAUUUUAGACUUGCUUUUCGCUAUAUUUACUUUAAAUUACUAGAUAAAUUGUUAGAUAGAAUACUCAGGAUGUUUUAGAGCUAAAUUUAUGUUAACUUUUGUCAUUAUAGUGAAAAGAAAUAUUCAGUUCUCAACCUCGUGGGUCAAUGUCAUGGAAGCGAAGUUGAUUCAGUAAAAUCGCUUUCUUGCUCGAAAUUUUAAAGCAAAAUUAAACAAGAAGUGUUGAAGUCUCAACCUCGAGAGAAUCUCAAAGACUAAAUUAAGGUAUGUACUUUCUAUUUUACGUAAAAUGUACAUGUUUCGGCGAACAAAACUGCUUUAAAUUCUUGUCAAAGUUGACUCGAAAGUUGAGGGCCGAAAUAUUUCCCUUCGGUCGCCCAUUCGAUAUUCGUCUUGUCCUUGCGUAAAAACAUUGAAUUUUAGACUUGCUUUUCGCUAUAUUUGCUUUAAAUUACUAGAUAAAUGGUUAGAUAGAAUACUCAGAAUAUUUUAGAGCUAAAUUUAUUUUACAUUUUGUCAUUUUAGUGAAAUGAAAUAUUCCGUUCUCAACCUCGUGGGUCAAGUCAUGGAAGCGAAGUUGAUUCAGUAAAAUCGCUUUCUUGCUCGAAAUUUUAAAGCAAAAUUAAACAAGAAGUGUUGAAGUCUCAACCUCGAGAGAAUCUCAAAGACUAAAUUAAGGUAUGUACUUUCUAUUUUACGUAAAAUGUACAUGUUUCGGCGAACAAAACUGCUUUAAAUUCUUGUCAAAGUUGACUCGAAAGUUGAGGGCCGAAAUAUUUCCCUUCGGUCGCCCAUUCGAUAUUCGUCUUGUCCUUGCGUAAAAACAUUGAAUUUUAGACUUGCUUUUCGCUAUAUUUGCUUUAAAUUACUAGAUAAAUGGUUAGAUAGAAUACUCAGAAUAUUUUAGAGCUAAAUUUAUUUUACAUUUUGUCAUUUUAGUGAAAUGAAAUAUUCCGUUCUCAACCUCGUGGGUCAAGUCAUGGAAGCAAAGUCGAUUCAGUAAAAUCGCUUUCUUGCUCGAAAUUUUAAAGCAAAAUUAAACAAGAAAUGUUGAAGUCUCUACCUCAAUUCAAACUGAGAAGGUAUGUAUAUAUUCUUCUGUUAUAUUUAUGUAAAAUGCAUGGCCAUAUUUUUAGCGAGAUAAUAGAACAUAUCAUUCUUACAAAUCGUGUCGUUUUUCUUUUUGGAUUUUUUAUUUUUUCGCGGGAAAGACGUCACAAACUUGGCGCCAAAAAUUUAAAAAUUAGCAAUGACUAAUUAUCACUUAUUUACUGAGACCGAGGGAAACAGUGUGUUUUGUGGACCCGAGACCAUGUUCGACGGUCGAGGGUCCACAAAACACACUGCUUUCCCGAGGUUUCAGUAAAUAAGUGUUUUAUUAUAUAUCAAUAGUCAAAGAAACAACAAAUUAAAGAACAAAUGAACGUAAAUACAUAAAAUAUUUUAUUGUUAAAUUAAAACGUUAUAUUAGGCCACAUUUAUUUUUUAUUUUAAAAACCCCCGAUUUUUAUUGAUCAACGGGCUCUAAUAUAUGUAGUAUUUCUGUUGACUGUAGUCAAUUGUGUUAAUAAUUUGCGAAAUUGCGUGCGAAAAUGACGGUAUGAAUUAUAUUUUGAAAUAUAGAAAAAAAUAUCUGUAUUGCGCAAGAAAAUCCAGUUUCGGACCUAACAUUGAGUAAAACCAAGGCGUUAAAAAUUAGUAAAAAUUAAAAAAAAAGCGCCCGCCCGCCCACUUUUUGGCAAAAGCUAAGGAUGCUAACCAACUAUUUUUUUUUGUUUGGCCUUAAACACUGGCUACACUGCAGUUACUUAAAGUGAAAGUUUUAAUUACGUACUAGGCAUGUCCAAAGGUCGCAUCUUCACGUGAUGGCGCACAUGAUUUUUUUUGUUAUUCGCCGGUCGAUAACGUAUUAUCUCCCUCUUGCGCUGUUGCGAGGGAGACAGCCUAAUUUCGUCACUCACGUGAUAUGCUCUCAACCAAUAAAACACUAGAAAAAUACGACUUUGACUAUUGAUAUAUAAUAAUAUUAUUUAUUUAUUUGGAAGACCAUGCUGUAGCAAUCUUGAAACUGAAGUCUGUUUCGAAGUACGACCAGUCAUUGCAAAGACAGAGUGAUUCAAAUUUCGAAAAAGCAGCCAUUUUGUUCUAUUUUUAGUAACAAAAUGGCCGAUUUUUCGAACUUUGAACCAGUCUAUCUUUGCAGCGAAUUGUCGUAUUUCGAAACAGACUUCAGUUUCAAGAUUGCUGCAGCAUGGUCUACCAAAUAAAUAAGUAAUAUUAGUCGUUGCUAAAUUUUAAAUUUUUGGCGCCAAGUUUGUGACGUCAUUUUCCCGCCAAAAAAUAAAAAAUCCAAAAACAAAAACGACACGAUUUGUAAGAAUGAUAUAUAUGUUCUAUGUUUAUGGAAAAUUUUGUACAAUCAGGAUGAAAAUUUAAAAAGUUGCAACACCUCUGGCGAUUUUGGACUACUUUUUGCCAGGCGUGUCACUUGCUCGAAAUGACUUCAAAUGCCGAAGUUGACAAGCGCCCGUUCAAUGUGCUGUCAUUGUCAUUGAAUUACAGAAUUUAGCCUCGGCUUUUUGGUAAUUCAACCCUGAAUUAAACCCUUGUUAGGGUGAUUUUAAAGCCAAAUUUGUUUAAAUAUUUGUCGUUUUUACGAAAAUAAUUGAUACAAUCAUACAACGCAUAAUUAAAUAAACUAUGCAUAUUGAUAAGAGGAGAACCAUUAGAAAUGUGAUGGGGGGAGAGACUUUUUCAACUUGUACGAAUUUUUUUUAACAUUUUUUGUUUGUGUCGAUAAUUUUCUUAGAUAUAAUCCCUUGCACAAUUUUUUUUAUUUCAACUUAUAAUUUUCCCUGUUGAAAUGUUCUUGCACAAAGUUUUUUUUUUCAAACUGUUUUAGUGCACAAUAUAUUUUCUUUCUGUUUCCCCCUGUGCAAUUUUUAAUUUUGCUACCCCCCUCCCCAUUACUUUUCUAAUGGUCCGUCCCUAAAUACCGGUAUUCCUUAUUUUAAUAUGUACUUUUUGUUUGUGGAAACACCACAUGAAUUUAUACUGCAGCAGAGCAGCUGGGAAAUUUGUUGCGCAUGCGCCAGAUUUCCAUUGAAACUUGAACAUCAGUUUCCCGAAGAAAUAACGAGAUGUUCGUGGUUGUUGUAUAUUUUUGAAUGCCUGUUUAAUCUUUAUAAUUUUUUUGCUCGAGACAAAGACAAAGUAAAAUGUACUCUACGUUUCCAGUGUAUAGAAUAUCUCGUUUGUGUUUGAACAGUAAUAGAAUAUUAUAAACUUGACACAAACAAGAAGACAUUUGACACGCUAAAUCUGCAGUCAUGCAUGCCAAUCGUCGCGAGCUUGACAGCCUUGUAAAGCGCAAAACAAGUACGAAUUUGGGUUCAAACAGAAAGAAGUUCAAUGUUAAUACCACUCACAUAUAUUCUAUAGAAAUACGGGUGGUUUAAAAUGUUUUCAAUUGAAUUUUCAAAGCUUUUAUCUAUCGACAUGAUAAUAAAACUGUGAAAAUCCGGCUUUUGUUGACGCUUGCGAAUGCAAAAUAACUUCCCGUAAAAAGAGCAUUUCUAUACAAAACUCUCGCUUAGUCUUCUAAUGCACUUGUAUGUUCGGUUCUACUAGCUAAACAAGGAAAAUAUCCAAGAAGCACUGUUAAAUUAUCGUUGUCAAAAAACAUUUCAGUUCUGGGGCAGUACGUACAAGGUCUCAAGGUCAAGUUGUCGAUUUCAUUACAUCAUACAUAGACAUAGACAUUUUAUUUGAACCCACUUAUUACAUUAGUUUUACAUUACAUUAAUUUUUUAACAUGACAUGGGUUCCGUCUGCCCGAAAUAACCAUUAAGGGGCUAGAUGAAUCAGGCAGACGUUUUACACACAACGCUUGACAAACAGAUAUAACGAAGCUUAAUAUAUAAAAUAGUCAAUUUACAUAAAUAUUUUACUCAAUUUAGCAGAACCACAGAGAGAAGCAAAACACCAUAUAAUUAUGAAAUUAUUAUUAAAAUUUAGAAUGUUUUAGCAAAAUCAAUAAUUAAAAAUAAUGAAAGCAAUUCAACAAUUCGAUACAUAAAUGAUACAGUACUUCGAAUGUUUUCAAACUCUUAUCUCAUACAAGAGCAGUAAACGCACGCAUUUCAAAGCGAAAUUAGACGCAAAGGGGCAAUUUUUCAACAAAAUUCAUUGUUAAAUUAUGUUUCCUAUGUGCCUUGGGAGCAAAAAAAUAUGAUUUUAAAUUUGGAGAUUUCGGUAAAUUUUUUUUCAAUUUGGCCUGGUAUUGCACCCUACCUAUGUACUAACGGUGCUGUAAAAGUAAUCAAAUAUACUAUUUUUAAUUUCCUUUCUUUGAAAGGAUCUACUAUUCUGGACUAAACUAAAUUUUAAUCAGCAUACAAGGCUGCAAACAACAGCCAAGAAUUAGCUGGGUAGUUUGCAAACUUUAAAAAUAAUUGGACCUCAAACUUCGAUCUCCAGAAGUAAACAAAUAGACAAUACUGCGAACAUAAUCCAAGUUUUGAUCACGAGGGCAAUUUUUAGAUGUAAAAAAACUUGUUUAAAUUACAUAUCAAACUAAGGCAAAACAAAAUUUGGUAUUAAAUUUUUGGUGAAAUCGUCUAAGUUUUUUGCUAUCCGCCCACACUUCUACACCCCCUCUCCCAGGAUAUUCUACCUCAAAAAACAGUUUUCUGCAGAAACUAUGCCUUUUUAUCGGAAAAAUGUUUACUUUUCUCAAAAAAUACAUUAUAAACACGGAAACCUUAAAUAUUUAAAUAAUUUUCAUACCUUUUUGGGAUUGAAAAAAGCAAAAUUUGAUUCAUUAUCCCACUUUUUAAAAUAUAUGUGAUAAAGUUGCUUCAAAAUCACCAUCACGCAGUAGCAUGUUUAUUUACCCUCAUCCUUUUGACUGAAUAAAGUUUAUCGUUUUGAAAAGCUAUUUGUUUUAUAGCUCUUGGUUACCGGUUUACGUUUAUGUCGAUUUUGGCACCCAUGAGACCAACAAGUUGUGGUAAUCCGCGAAUGAAAAUGGAUAUUCGAAGAGUACAAAAGCCAACUCCUAGCUAUGUAACUUUAUCGCCUGAAUUUUGAAUCAAUCCAAAAUUAAAAUGCUGAUAAUGUAGAUGCUUUCCAUACUUGAGAUGUUAGUGAAGUUUUUCCUACAAUUUAAUUUCCUUGAUCGCUGUCUUAAAAAUGCAAAAUCAUCAGUUGAAAUUUCACUCGUGUUGUUUUUUCAAAUUUUCGAAUUUUUGUAAAAUAUCGCGUGCGCCAGCAAUUUCUCUGCACAGCGACAACAAAUUUCCCAGCUGCUCUGCAGCAGGAAUAAAUUUACGUGGUGUUUCCACCAACAAAAAGUAUUAUGUUUUAUCACCAUGGACACCAUGCAAACCCACAAAGAACUUUAUAUUCCUUAUUUUAUUGUACUGUAUUAAAAAUGGUGGCAUACUGUACUAAGGCCCCCGUUUACAUGAGACCGGAACGAAGUCAAACCGGGACCAUCUCGUUUCGGUCAUACAUAGUAUUAUCUAUAAUAGAUGUUUACAUGAGACCGGGACGAAAAUAACUAGUAGUAGUAGAACUUUAUUUAUCCACGCUGACCCCGUCAACCUAAGCUGAUUUCCACGGGGGGCGUGUGAACUCAGACCGGUCUCAAGUCAUUCCGCCUUCUGGACCGAACCGACUGACUUCAGACCGGCAUGAAUUCAGACUGGGAUGAAUGUAAACACAAAUACAUUUCAGACCGGUCUCAGCUGUAAUCUUGACAUUGGAACAACACAUGCUAGCAAAAGCCAUCUGAAAAAGAAAAUUGCCUGGCAAGGGGAAUAAAUUGAAGAUUUUGUGAUCCUCGUACCGGUCUCAUGUAAACAUGUUGACAAUUUCCAUUUUCAUUCCGGUUUGACUUCGUCCCGGUCUCAUGUAAACAGAGCCUAAUUUGAUUUGUUAUUAAUCUUUCUAAUUUUAUUUUCAGGCUGAAUGGAUGUAAAUUGAAAUGUGUGUCACUGGAAAACCACUAUACCCCUGCACAUUGGAUACUCAAAUUGUAAAGCGAAUUCAAAGAUAAAAAUGUUCAAUUCUCAACUUCAAGAGAAAGCCUGGUC